RNAcentral lists this ribosomal RNA (801 nucleotides) under uncultured bacterium. RNAcentral describes it as "bacterial SSU rRNA". It matches the Rfam family "Bacterial small subunit ribosomal RNA", at positions 549 to 1335 of the family's 1533-position model. The record is from RNAcentral.
AUUCACUGGGCAUAAAGGGUACGUAGGCGGUUUAGCAAGUUUUUGGUUAAAGCCUUUUGCUUAACAUUAGGACUGCCAAGAAAACUGCUAAACUAGAGGCCGGAAGAGGUAAGCGGAACUGCCGGUGUAGGGGUUGAAUCCGUUAAUAUCGGCAGGAACACCAAAAGCGAAGGCAGCUUACUAGAACGGACCUGACGCUGAGGUACGAAAGCGUGGGUAGCGAACGAGAUUAGAUACCUCGGUAGUCCACGCCGUAAACAUUGGAUGUUGGGCAUUGGAAGUGUCGACCCUUUCAGUGUCGCAUAUAAAAGUUAAUACGUUAAACAUCCCGCCUGGGAACUACGGCCGCAAGGCUAGAACUCAAAGGAAUAGACGGGAGCUCGCACAAGCGGUGGAUCAUGUGGUUUAAUUCGACGCUAAGCGAGGAACCUUACCAGGGCUUGACAUACUAGGACGUAGGCUUUCUGAAAAGUUAGCUGAUCCUUUAGGAAACCUAGUACAGGUGCUGCAUGGUUGUCGUCAGCUCGUGUUGUGAAAUGUUCCGUUAAGUCGGGAAACGAGCGCAACCCCUGUCCUUAGUUACCAGCGGUUUAAGCCGGGGACUCUAGGGAGACUGCCAGUGAUAAACUGGAGGAAGGUGGGGAUGACGUCAAAUCAGCAUGGCCCUUAUGCUCUGGGCUACACACAUGAUACAAUGGCCGAUACAAUGGGUCGCCAAAUCGCAAGAUGGAGCUAAUCCCAUCAAAAUCGGUCCCAGUUCGGAUUGAGGUCUGCAAUUCGACCUCAUGAAGUCGGAAUCGC